This is a long non-coding RNA of Phyllostomus discolor (pale spear-nosed bat), 132 nucleotides long. RefSeq lists it as uncharacterized. NCBI's taxonomy places the organism in Eukaryota, Metazoa, Chordata, Mammalia, Chiroptera, Phyllostomidae. The record is from RefSeq and is a predicted model, not a curated record. The transcript is spliced from 2 exons.
GAGACUUGACUUGGGGUGGUGCACACACAAUACAGUAUACAGAUGAUGUAUUAUAGAAUUAUACAGCUGAAACCAGUAUAAUUUCAUUAGCCAACGUCACCCCAAUAAAUUCAAUAAAAAUAAAAGUAAAUU